UACGGGGGGGGCAAGCGUUGUUCGGAAUUACUGGGCGUAAAGGGCUCGUAGGCGGCCAACUAAGUCGGACGUGAAAUCCCCAGGCUCAACCUGGGAACUGCGUCCGAUACUGGAUGGCUUGAAUCCGGGAGAGGGAUGCAGAAUUCCAGGUGUAGCGGUGAAAUGCGUAGAUAUCUGGAGGAAUACCGGUGGCGAAGGCGGCAGCCUGGACCGGUAUUGACGCUGAGGCGCGAAAGCCAGGGGAGCAAACGGG
Molecule: ribosomal RNA, 253 nt
Filed under: uncultured bacterium
Lineage: Bacteria
Description: partial 16S ribosomal RNA
Rfam family: Bacterial small subunit ribosomal RNA
Source: RNAcentral